GGAAAACCACAAACAAAAUCAACACUGACAGCAGGCAGUCUCGAAAAUUGAAUAUCGAAAUCGGAAUAGAACUGCGGCGGGAAAUCGCUCGCUCGCUCGCUCGCUCGCUCGAAAAUGUCAACGACUCGCAGUCCCCUCAUGAUGAUCAUCAUCAGUGAGGAGCUGGGGCUCCGCUCAUUACCACGCCUAUUUUGUGUUUGCGGUAGCCAAUGUGUGCGACGAUGGGUAGCCAAAAUACCGAAAAGUGCCAUUCAUUCAGCCGUGGCACCUCGCGGUCGGAUUCCCAUGCCACGUUGCCGCAAGAUCAACUCUUCCUGGGGGCAGGGUGCCGCCCACUUUUUACAAGUGAUCGUUGUGUCCCAUAUGUCUGGCCGAUGGAGCUGUUUUUGGUACGGCUGACUGCCUGACUGGCUGACUGGCUGUUUGUUGCAUUUUUUGUGCCUGAACAGCAGCAAGUGGGCGUGACUCUCCAUGAGGGAGCGCGGGAGUCCGCAAUCCUCACAUAAAUAACCCAAGCUGUUGACAGUCUUUGGCACUG
Molecule: long non-coding RNA, 538 nt
Filed under: Drosophila guanche
Lineage: Eukaryota; Metazoa; Arthropoda; Insecta; Diptera; Drosophilidae
Source: RNAcentral